RNAcentral lists this ribosomal RNA (446 nucleotides) under uncultured bacterium. RNAcentral's name for it is "partial 16S ribosomal RNA". It matches the Rfam family "Bacterial small subunit ribosomal RNA", at positions 338 to 795 of the family's 1533-position model. The record is from RNAcentral.
CCUACGGGAGGCAGCAGUCGAGAAUCAUUCACAAUGGGGGAAACCCUGGUGGUGCGACGCCGCGUGGGGGAAUGAAGGUCUUCGGAUUGUAAACCCCUGUCAUGUGGGAGCAAAUUAAAAAGAUAGUACCACAAGAGGAAGAGACGGCUAACUCUGUGCCAGCAGCCGCGGUAAUACAGAGGUCUCAAGCGUUGUUCGGAAUCACUGGGCGUAAAGCGUGCGUAGGCUGUUUCGUAAGUCGUGUGUGAAAGGCGCGGGCUCAACCCGCGGACGGCACAUGAUACUGCGAGACUAGAGUAAUGGAGGGGGGACCGGAAUUCUGGGUGUAGCAGUGAAAUGCGUAGAUAUCGAGAGGAACACUCGGGGCGAAGGCGGGUUCCUGGACAUUAACUGACGCUGAGGCACGAAGGCCAGGGGAGCGAAAGGGAUUAGAUACCCCUGUAGUC